RNAcentral lists this ribosomal RNA (370 nucleotides) under uncultured bacterium. RNAcentral describes it as "bacterial SSU rRNA". It matches the Rfam family "Bacterial small subunit ribosomal RNA", at positions 527 to 895 of the family's 1533-position model. The record is from RNAcentral.
GGGGGGGGCAAGCGUUGUUCGGAAUUACUGGGCGUAAAGGGCUCGUAGGCGGCCAACUAAGUCAUACGUGAAAUCCCUCGGCUUAACCGGGGAACUGCGUCUGAUACUGGAUGGCUUGAGUUUGGGAGAGGGAUGCGGAAUUCCAGGUGUAGCGGUGAAAUGCGUAGAUAUCUGGAGGAACACCGGUGGCGAAGGCGGCAUCCUGGACCAACACUGACGCUGAGGAGCGAAAGCCAGGGGAGCAAACGGGAUUAGAUACCCCGGUAGUCCUGGCCCUAAACGAUGAAUGCUUGGUGUGGCGGGUAUCGAUCCCUGCCGUGCCGAAGCUAACGCAUUAAGCAUUCCGCCUGGGGAGUACGGUCGYAAWGCU